This 253-nucleotide ribosomal RNA is filed under the name Abditibacterium sp. RNAcentral describes it as "partial 16S ribosomal RNA". It matches the Rfam family "Bacterial small subunit ribosomal RNA", at positions 524 to 776 of the family's 1533-position model. The record is from RNAcentral. Lineage: Bacteria; Pseudomonadati; Abditibacteriota; Abditibacteriia; Abditibacteriales; Abditibacteriaceae. RNAcentral also lists the same sequence under 1 other name.
UACGUAGGUGGCAAGCGUUGUCCGGAUUUACUGGGCGUAAAGCGUAUGCAGGCGGACCGUUAAGUAGGAAGUGAAAGGUUGGAGCUCAACUCUAACACUGCUCCCUAUACUGGCGGUCUUGAGUGGCGGAGAGGAAGAUGGAACGACACGUGUAGCGGUGAAAUGCGUUGAUAUGUGUCGGAACACCAAUGGCGAAAGCAAUCUUCUGGACGCAAACUGACGCUGAGAUACGAAAGCCAAGGUAGCAAACAGG